CACGGGGGGAGCAAGCGUUGUUCGGAAUUACUGGGCGUAAAGCGUGCGCAGGCGGUUCGCUGUGUCCGAUGUGAAAGCCCCGGGCUUAACCUGGGAAUGGCAUUGGAAACUGGCGGGCUUGAGUGCGGCAGAGGGGGGUGGAAUUCCGCGUGUAGCAGUGAAAUGCGUAGAUAUGCGGAGGAACACCGAUGGCGAAGGCAAUCCCCUGGGCCUGCACUGACGCUCAUGCACGAAAGCGUGGGGAGCAAACAGG
This 253-nucleotide ribosomal RNA is filed under the name uncultured bacterium. RNAcentral describes it as "partial 16S ribosomal RNA". It matches the Rfam family "Bacterial small subunit ribosomal RNA", at positions 524 to 776 of the family's 1533-position model. The record is from RNAcentral.